GGGGCCCUCCAGUCCACAGAAAGCUUACCCAGGCUCAGAGCCCACGGCAGGCAGCAUCCCCAGGCCUUGCACGGCAGAGCAGAAUUUCUCAGCCAGAGACCAGCAAUCCAGGAAGUGCAGGAUCGGCGAGUCCUGCAAGUCCUUUCCAAGGACGCAGCACAGUGGCCACAGGCCUCCCACGAGACCCCACGGUGCAAGGGCCCCAGACCUCCUGGGGGUGCACAUCUGCUGGACACUUAUGCAACGGGGCACUGAGGCCCGCUCCAGUGGAGGAGAAAGCACGUUUACGACUGCCUGCCGGUAAUGACUUCCCUUUGCUUGAAUCAGUUGGUCCAAAAGCUGUGUUAUUUUCCUGGCUCCACUUAUUCAUGUCCUUAAACCGCAGGGGGCUAAGGUUACAGCAGACUUAGUCCUAGCCAGAGAGCAGGCGAGUCUGGACAAGUGAAGAGCAUACAUUUUAACUCAUGUGGGAAUGCAGGAAGAGCAACACCGUGCCUGUCUCCCUUUCUGCUGCUAUUGGAGAAGUGCUUGUUAUGACUGAGGGCACAGAUUUUGUUACUUUUCACAUAAGGAAUUGUCUGGAAAGGAAUAAGACUGAAGUUGGUGAGGAUAACUGAGAUCUACACAAGGGAGUCGAUGCCAAGAACUACAGGAAUCACAAUGGGAAUGAAAUAAACAAACAUGGAACAGAGUGGACCCUGUGUGGGCAGCUGAGCGAGAUGGACAGUCAUAAGUAACCCUCAGGACUUUGGCUUGAAAUCAUUUAUACAUGGGGCUGGCCUUUGUUCAGACAAGAAAGGAAAAUACAGUAAAGUGCAAAUGAUAUCUGUGUUAGUCUUUGUUGUGUUAAAGUGUCCAACUAUUUUAGUUUUACAAGCAGAAAAUGACUGCAUCUCAUUCAGAGAUUUUCAGAUUGUGGAAAUGUGCUUCACUGCUAUAGAUUCUUGAAUGAAGUAACAGCAAGUGUAUUUUUCUUCAGUGUAACUGUUGUGUUUUAGAUAGAAUGUUCCCCAAAAGCUCAUGUGGUCAGAGGCAGGGAUUUGGAAGGUGACUGAUCGUGGGGCACCUUAGCCAUCAGUGGAUUCAUCCUGAUGGGUUCACAGCUGAAUGUGCUGUUAGCAGUUGGAGCCUGGUGGGAAGAAG
RNAcentral lists this long non-coding RNA (1143 nucleotides) under Heterocephalus glaber (naked mole-rat). RNAcentral's name for it is "lncRNA (ENSHGLG00000036255.1)". Lineage: Eukaryota; Metazoa; Chordata; Mammalia; Rodentia; Bathyergidae. The record is from RNAcentral.